CCUACGGGAGGCAGCAGUGGGGAAUAUUGGACAAUGGGCGAAAGCCUGAUCCAGCAAUGCCGCGUGAGUGAUGAAGGCCUUCGGGUCGUAAAGCUCUUUUACCAGGGAUGAUAAUGACAGUACCUGGAGAAUAAGCUCCGGCUAACUCCGUGCCAGCAGCCGCGGUAAUACGGAGGGAGCUAGCGUUGUUCGGAAUUACUGGGCGUAAAGAGUACGUAGGCGGUUAUUCAAGUCAGAGGUGAAAGCCCGGGGCUCAACCCCGGAACUGCCUUUGAAACUAGAUAACUAGAGUCUUGGAGAGGUUAGUGGAAUUCCGAGUGUAGAGGUGAAAUUCGUAGAUAUUCGGAAGAACACCAGUGGCGAAGGCGACUAACUGGACAAGUACUGACGCUGAGGUACGAAAGCGUGGGGAGCAAACAGGAUUAGAUACCCUGGUAGUCCACGCCGUAAACGAUGAUAACUAGUUGUUCGGUCACUUGGUGACUGAGUGACGCAGCUAACGCAUUAAGUUAUCCGCCUGGGGAGUACGGUCGCAAGAUUAAAACUCAAAAGGAAUUGACCGGCNGAGACGNGCGAGACGACACGAGGAGAG
RNAcentral lists this ribosomal RNA (592 nucleotides) under uncultured bacterium. RNAcentral describes it as "bacterial SSU rRNA". It matches the Rfam family "Bacterial small subunit ribosomal RNA", at positions 338 to 948 of the family's 1533-position model. The record is from RNAcentral.